GUGCACACACGCAGACGGACCGCUUCAUUCGCCAAAUUGCGGUUACUAUAUCGGUCUCCUUUCUCCGAGGUUCGACUUCGUACCGUCUCGACGAUGGGAAUUUAAUAAAUACCAGAUUUCCCUGCGGAGAAUGAAAAGAAAUUCUAUUUUAACCGUCGAGCUCUGUUCCAGAUCCAGUUAUGGAGGCCAUAAAUUACAGCGGAGUUGUUCGGAACAGCAUCGAGGGCUGCUUCUAUGAAGUUAAUUAACCGGAUCUGCAGAAAAAGAAUAGUCGUCUCUUACCAAGGAGCACAGUGCCACGCUUGUUUUCACUUAUGGAACAGUUUCAGCACGGAAUCACACAAGCUGGCGCACUAUCACGGCACGCAUUGAUCACUUUCCACGGACUUAAUCGUACCGCGAUUCGCUCCUCCGAUUUUUUCCCGAGCACUCCACUCGCGCACUUCUCUGGCACUCCGUUCCAAGAAUUCGCUCGUGCCGCAAUUAAUCCAUCGGAAAUGUCAAAGCGGUUCGGGAACGGCCGCCGCGAGUGAAUCGCGAGCGGAUAGGAGCGAGAUGCUUCCUCGAUCGGAUCGAGGGAUCGUUCAGCGAGCCGUAGCUGUGUCCGCCGGGAUUUGUGAUUUCACCGCGACUCCCGUGUUCGCUGCACUCUUCGAGUGUCUGCAGUAUUUAUAAAACGCCGACCGGAAAGCGCUACUGGUGAGCUGAUUUUGGCGCCGAGCCGGCUUGGCCGCGCGCUGACGCCUCGACGCGGACGUCGCCGUCGCGGACGGUCCUCGCCGGGACCGUGGAUCGCUAGGGGAUCGCGUGUUUCGCAUGUUUUCGAACGUGGAUCGACGCGGACCGCCUCGUCGGGCAGCCUCGCAUUUUUCCACGGAUCCGCGCGGCGGACGUGGCUCGUCUCGCGCGGCCCAGGGAAAUUUAUACGUCUGCGUCGCCGACGCGAUGAGCUUUCGGCGUGUUUUAUGGGAACGAUGAGUAAUUCGCGAGUUAUUUUCACUCGGGAAACCGGGGCUUGCGGAGAUAAUGGGGCCGGGACGAGUUCGCGAGGAAGAGACAAGCGAAACGAAUCUCUUAAUUGAACUUCUUCGCCGCUGUUUCGGCCGACAGUGAUUUAUUGUAAUUAGCGCGAUAUAAUAUCCGAUUUGCGGGCCUUGCCGCAUUUAUUUGGGAAAGUUAGGGUAAUCAGGUCUGACGAAGAGUAAUGGGAGAAGUUGGGUUCGGUACGCUGGAAAAAUUUCUGCUGAUUAUGGUAUCUUAGUCUUCCCGUCGCGGAACCGUUUCCAUGGGAAAUGAAUCUCACAGCGUCCGAUUAUGCAGAUAUGUUUCUCUGCGAAUGUCCGAUGCGCGGUGUACGUAGACGAUUUACACGUUCUAUAGCGUGGUAAUUGUGCACGCGUUUGUUGCAUUUCGGGUAUAGGGACUCUCAGCUCGGUGGGAGUGGUCUGACUCGCGGACACAUUUGGGCGAAUUGCGUGGCGUUCGUGGAAUUUGACUAGCCCAAUUUCGUGGAAUUUAUAGUCGCGCGAAUCGUCAUUGACUGCUAAAGUGAUUAUUUUUCGGAAUAAACGAUUCGAAACUUCUCUAUGAUUGUUCAGAGUCUAUCGCGUCACGGUUAUAUCGUCAUACGCAUUCGAUUGUCUGGUUAAUUGGUAGAAUAUCGAAUUAUUCAUUUGUCGGAGGGUCUCGUGUAUUGGUUAAAGAAUUAAUCAAAGCCCGACUCGCUGUUUAAAAUUCUCCCACGACUUAUUCAUCCGGUCCGCUACUGACCUCUGUCAGAACUUGGCAGAACUGCUUCGACGACUACGUAUAGUCUGAAAUACAGUCUUAUCAUACAUGCGCACGUUGCAUCAUGAAUAAAACCAUAGCCGAGGUAUAGGGAUAGAUUUAACAUCGCGGAGAAGGUGUAGGCAUAGAUUUAACAUGCAAUCGCAUGCGAAAUAUACGAAUAAAUGAAAUAUUUUAUGGGAUUUUGUGGCUUCGAAUUUAACUGUCGUACCUACGGAAUACUUGCCACUGAUUUUAGCGCCCUCUUUUCACGGACGACGGUCAGCUGAAACACUAUUCACUGAAGGAGACUGAAAAGGAAAAUGAAUGUAGUUUACGACAGAUCGAUUGCGAUUUGGAAAUAAUUAGGAAAGCAUACCAAAAAUACACGUAAGAGGAAGAAGAGAUCUUCAGAGAAGCCAUUCAAUGCAGUUUGCAAGAUUGGUAUCUGCAUAGAAGUCAACUGAGGGCAACGAAAACUGAGAAGAUGUUGAAUCUAUUUAUAUACCUUGUCUGUGUUAUCAUAUCACCCAGAAUUAUACCAGCGGAGUACAGAAUUCGCAAACUAUGCAAAAUUCCUUGAACCUCUGUCGAUAACCCUGUGAUUUUCUUCCGUCGUAUUUGAUGGUUCCUAUUUUAACUGAUUGUAAAAAACUCAACGAAUAUAAAAUAUACAGCAUAACAUUGUAAUUGUAUUAACAGUUAUACUACCCAUUGUUUCAGAUCCAAGAGAACUCCAAGACUUGUUCUCAUAUAAAUUUUCAAAUUAUGAGAAUCUAGAAUUCUAUUCAAGCAAUACAUUUCUCUUUAUAUACCUAAUAUAAAUCGAUACAAUUGUUGCAUCAUUUUUCGAAAAAGUACAUGUAAAACAACCAUGUCUGCUA
Molecule: long non-coding RNA, 2651 nt
Organism: Megalopta genalis
Lineage: Eukaryota; Metazoa; Arthropoda; Insecta; Hymenoptera; Halictidae
Source: RefSeq, a predicted model, not a curated record